RNAcentral lists this ribosomal RNA (1245 nucleotides) under metagenome. RNAcentral describes it as "bacterial SSU rRNA". It matches the Rfam family "Bacterial small subunit ribosomal RNA", at positions 259 to 1520 of the family's 1533-position model. The record is from RNAcentral.
AAUCUUCUUCACAAGUUAUGACGGGUAGCGGGUUUGAGAGGAUGAUCCGCCACACUGGUACUGAGACACGGACCAGACUCCUACGGGAGGCAGCAGUGAGGAAUAUUGCACAAUGGGGGAAACCCUGAUGCAGCAACGCCGCGUGGAGGAUGACGCAUUUCGGUGUGUAAACUCCUUUUAUAUGUCAAGAAAAUGACGGUAGCAUAUGAAUAAGCACCGGCUAACUCCGUGCCAGCAGCCGCGGUAAUACGGAGGGUGCAAGCGUUAUUCGGAAUCACUGGGCGUAAAGGACGCGUAGGCGGGAUGCCAAGUCUGAUGUGAAAUCCUAUGGCUUAACCAUAGAACUGCAUUGGAAACUGGUAACCUAGAGUAUGGGAGGGGGAGAUGGAAUUAGUGGUGUAGGGGUAAAAUCCGUAGAUAUCACUAGGAAUACCGAAAGCGAAGGCGAUCUCCUGGAACAAUACUGACGCUAAGGCGUGAAAGCGUGGGGAGCAAACGGGAUUAGAUACCCCGGUAGUCCACGCCCUAAACGAUGAACACUAGUCGUCGGAAUGCUAGUCAUUUCGGUGAUGCACUUAACAGAUUAAGUGUUCCGCCUGGGGAGUACGGUCGCAAGAUUAAAACUCAAAGGAAUAGACGGGGACCCGCACAAGUGGUGGAGCAUGUGGUUUAAUUCGGAAAUACGCGAAGAACCUUACCUAGCCUUGACAUUGAAGAAAUACCCUAGAGAUAGAGUAGUGCCCUUCGGGGAAUCUGAAAACAGGUGCUGCACGGCUGUCGUCAGCUCGUGUCGUGAGAUGUUGGGUUAAGUCCCGCAACGAGCGCAACCCUCGUCCUUAGUUGCCAGCAGUUUGGCUGGGCACUCUAAGGAGACUGCCUUCGCAAGGAGGAGGAAGGUGAGGACGACGUCAAGUCAUCAUGGCCCUUAUGGCUAGGGCUACACACGUGCUACAAUGGGGCGUACAGAGAGUUGCGAUACCGCGAGGUGGAGCCAAUCUCAUAAAGCGUCUCUCAGUUCGGAUUGGAGUCUGCAACUCGACUCCAUGAAGCUGGAAUCACUAGUAAUCGUAGAUCAGCAAUGCUACGGUGAAUACGUUCCCGGGUCUUGUACUCACCGCCCGUCACACCAUGGGAGUUGAUUUCACCCGAAAUUGGGAAGCUAACCUUCGGGGGGCUACCACUUACGGUGGAAUUAGCGACUGGGGUGAAGUCGUAACAAGGUAACCGUAGGAGAACCUGCGGUUG